CUAGUACGGCGAGUGAGAGGGAAAAGCUCAAAGUUGGAACCUGGCUGCCCUAGGCAGUCCGGAUUGUAAACUAAAGAGCGUGAUUCCAGGCAAGCCGGUUGACCAAGUCCUUUGGAAUGAGGCGCCACUGAGGGUGAGAGCCCCGUAAGUCGACUGAGCAUUUGUCUUUUGUGCUUCGCGUUCAAAGAGUCAGGUUGUUUGGGAAUGCAGCCUAAAGCUGGUGGUAAAUCCCACCUAAAGCUAAAUACAGGCGAGAGACCGAUAGCGAACAAGUACCGUGAGGGAAAGAUGAAAAGAACUUUGAAAAGAGAGUUAAACAGUAUGUGAAAUUGCCAAGAGGGAAGCAUUUGGAGUUAGAUUGACUAGGAGUUAAUCAGCUUGGUCUUUGGACUGGGUGUACUUGACUUCUUACAGUCUGCCAAUAGCAGUUAGUCCUAGUGGAAAAAACCAGAGGGAAGGUAGUCCUUCGGGAUGUUUAUAGACCUUUGGAAAAUACACUGGGAUUGACUGAGGAAUGCAGUAGAUGCCACUAAGGCUUCGUCUAGUGGGUGCUAGGCAAAGGUACUUGGUAUUUUCAGCUUGCUGAUGUGCUAGUUACUCGAGUCUAGUCGCCUACUAGAACUGUAUCUACUUUGGUUAUUGGCUUAUGACUCUAAUGGCCGUCUG
Molecule: ribosomal RNA, 666 nt
Filed under: Lichtheimia hongkongensis
Lineage: Eukaryota; Fungi; Mucoromycota; Mucoromycetes; Mucorales; Lichtheimiaceae
Description: eukaryotic LSU rRNA
Rfam family: Eukaryotic large subunit ribosomal RNA
Source: RNAcentral